Molecule: ribosomal RNA, 497 nt
Filed under: uncultured bacterium
Lineage: Bacteria
Description: partial 16S ribosomal RNA
Rfam family: Bacterial small subunit ribosomal RNA
Source: RNAcentral
GAUGAACGCUGGCGGCGUGCCUAAUACAUGCAAGUCGAGCGAACAGACGAGGAGCUUGCUCCUCUGACGUUAGCGGCGGACGGAUGAGUAACACGUGGAUAACCUACCUAUAAGACUGGGAUAACUUCGGGAAACCGGAGCUAAUACCGGAUAAUAUAUUGAACCGCAUGGUUCAAUAGUGAAAGACGGUUUUGCUGUCACUUAUAGAUGGAUCCGCGCCGCAUUAGCUAGUUGGUAAGGUAACGGCUUACCAAGGCAACGAUGCGUAGCCGACCUGAGAGGGUGAUCGGCCACACUGGAACUGAGACACGGUCCAGACUCCUACGGGAGGCAGCAGUAGGGAAUCUUCCGCAAUGGGCGAAAGCUUGACGGAGCAACGCCGCGUGAGUGAUGAAGGUCUUCAGAUCGUAAAACUCUGUUAUUAGGGAAGAACAAAUGUGUAAGUAACUAUGCACGUCUUGACGGUACCUAAUCAGAAAGCCACGGCUAACUACGUG